GGGUUGGUCUUGAUCUAGAGGGUUUUAGGAUACACCUAGAAGAAUCUAACACCACUGAAAUGAGUGGCCAGGAAGCAGUUGGAAGGAAUCUUAAAUAGGUCACUGCUUUCUGAGCAGGUAAAUUGUACUAGGCCCCGAAGAUGCUAGAAAUCCGCAAGAACAUUGGAGACUACUGGAAGCUCCGGGAACCAGGAAACAAGCCAGUUAAUGAAAAAUUUCUUCAGCCGGGAGCACACCCAAGACGGCCGAAUAGGAACACCUCCAGCCUCCAGCUUCCAGCAUGAGUGACACAGAAGACGGGUGAUUUCUGCAUUUUCAACUGAGGUACUGGGUUCAUCUCCCUGGGGAGUUCCAGACAAUUGGUGCUGGUCAGCUGCUGCAGCCCGACCAGCGAGAGCUGAAGCAGGGUGAGGCAUUGCCGCACCUGGGAAGAACAAGGGGGAAGCAAAACCCUUUUCCUAGCCAAGGGAAACUGAGACACACAACAUCUGGAAAAUCGGGUAACUCCCACCCUAAUACUGUGCUUUACCAAGGGUCAUAGCAAAUGGCACACCAGGAGAUUAUAUCCCAC
Molecule: long non-coding RNA, 571 nt
Filed under: Macaca fascicularis (crab-eating macaque)
Lineage: Eukaryota; Metazoa; Chordata; Mammalia; Primates; Cercopithecidae
Description: lncRNA (ENSMFAG00000061845.1)
Source: RNAcentral